GGAAAUGUGCCUGAGAACUAAGGGCCACUAUGAUAAAGUGGACACAGAGGUACACCAACCCUCUCAUUUCCU
RNAcentral lists this transfer RNA (72 nucleotides) under Erithacus rubecula (European robin). Its description in RNAcentral is "tRNA-Ile". The record is from RNAcentral. Lineage: Eukaryota; Metazoa; Chordata; Aves; Passeriformes; Muscicapidae.